This 329-nucleotide unclassified non-coding RNA is filed under the name soil metagenome. RNAcentral describes it as "partial contains 5.8S ribosomal RNA, internal transcribed spacer 2, and large subunit ribosomal RNA". The stretch from base 1 to 120 matches the Rfam family "5.8S ribosomal RNA", at positions 35 to 154 of the family's 154-position model. The record is from RNAcentral.
GAUGAAGAACGCAGCGAAAUGCGAUAAGUAAUGUGAAUUGCAGAAUUCAGUGAAUCAUCGAAUCUUUGAACGCACAUUGCGCCCCUUGGUAUUCCGAGGGGCAUGCCUAUUCGAGCGUCAUUAUCACCCCUCAAGCCUAGCUUGGUGUUGAGGCCUGCUGUCAAGGCAGCCUCUAAAAUCAGUGGCAGUGCUGUCAGGCUCUAUGCGUAGUAAAUCUAAUCGCUAUAGACACCUGGUGGACACUCGCCAGAACCCCCCCAUUUUUUAAUGAUUGACCUCGGAUUAGGUAGGGAUACCCGCUGAACUUAAGCAUAUCAAUAAGCGGAGGA